RNAcentral lists this ribosomal RNA (453 nucleotides) under uncultured bacterium. Its description in RNAcentral is "bacterial SSU rRNA". It matches the Rfam family "Bacterial small subunit ribosomal RNA", at positions 364 to 832 of the family's 1533-position model. The record is from RNAcentral.
UUCGCAAUGCCCGAAAGGGUGAACGAGCGACGCCGCGUGCGGGAUGAAGGCCUUCGGGUUGUAAACCGCUUUUCUUAAGGAAGAACUUAAUGACGGUACUUAAGGAAUAAGAGGUUACUAACUCUGUGCCAGCAGUAGCGGUAAUACAGAUGGAGCAAGCGUUGUUCGGAAUCACUGGGCAUAAAGCGCAUGUAGGCGGCCUUGAAAGUCGGGUGUGAAAUCCCCUGGCCCACCCAGGGAACUGCAUUCGAAACUUCAAGGCUUGAGUGAAGAAGGGGAGAGUGGAACUCCUGGUGGAGCGGUAAAAUGCGUAGAUAUCAGGAGGAGCGCCGGUGGAGAAGUCGACUCUCUGGUCUUUUACUGACGCUGAGAUGCGAAAGCUAGGGGAGCAAACGGGAUUAGAUACCCCGGUAGUCCUAGCCGUAAACGAUGGGCACUAAGUAGAGGGGUUUU